GAUGAACGCUGGCGGCGUGCCUAAUACAUGCAAGUCGAGCGAACAGACGAGGAGCUUGCUCCUCUGACGUUAGCGGCGGACGGGUGAGUAACACGUGGAUAACCUACCUAUAAGACUGGGAUAACUUCGUGAAACCGGAGCUAAUACCGGAUAAUAUAUUGAACCGCAUGGUUCAAUAGUUCAAGACGGUUUUGCUGUCACUUAUAGAUGGAUCCGCGCCGCAUUAGCUAGUUGGUAAGGUAACGGCUUACCAAGGCAACGAUGCGUAGCCGACCUGAGAGGGUGAUCGGCCACACUGGAACUGAGACACGGUCCAGACUCCUACGGGAGGCAGCAGUAGGGAAUCUUCCGCAAUGGGCGAAAGCUUGACGGAGCAACGCCGCGUGAGUGAUGAAGGUCUUCGGAUCGUAAAACUCUGUUAUUAGGGAAGAACAAAUGUGUAAGUAACUAUGCACGUCUUGACGGUACCUAAUCAGAAAGCCACGGCUAACUACGUG
Molecule: ribosomal RNA, 497 nt
Filed under: uncultured bacterium
Lineage: Bacteria
Description: partial 16S ribosomal RNA
Rfam family: Bacterial small subunit ribosomal RNA
Source: RNAcentral